RNAcentral lists this non-coding RNA (172 nucleotides) under Tessaracoccus sp. ZS01. Its description in RNAcentral is "Staphylococcus sRNA 35 (srn_0335)". It matches the Rfam family "Staphylococcus sRNA 35 (srn_0335)", at positions 97 to 270 of the family's 270-position model. Rfam says of the family: Other name: Srn_0335, SAOUHSCs258. Lineage: Bacteria; Bacillati; Actinomycetota; Actinomycetes; Propionibacteriales; Propionibacteriaceae. The record is from Rfam by way of RNAcentral.
AAGUAUUUCUUUAUCGUCGUUCCACCCCAACUCGCAUUGCCUGUAGAAUUUCAUUUCGAAAUUCUCUGUGCUGGGGCCCCUGACUAGAAUCGAAAAAAGCUUGUUACAAGCGCAUUUUCGUUCAGUCAACUACUGCCAAUAUAACUUUGUAGAGCAUAUUACAUUGAUUUAC